Molecule: long non-coding RNA, 1141 nt
Filed under: Lonchura striata (white-rumped munia)
Lineage: Eukaryota; Metazoa; Chordata; Aves; Passeriformes; Estrildidae
Description: domestica (Bengalese finch) lncRNA (ENSLSDG00000009497.1)
Source: RNAcentral
GGCACUUGGCAGGAGUAAGAGCUGUAGCUCUUGCAACAAAACCUGGGCAGAGCGGAGAGCUCAGUGCAGUGACAGGGUGGUGUGACUGCUCCUGAGUAUUUUGAAACCACUGUGGUGUUUGCAAUGUGAUAGCUCUGGGGGUAUUUUCAUGCACAGCCUGCUGCCAUCACAGUAUCACCCAGAGGCGAGGGGAGAGAGCUGGAUGAGCCAAUGCAACGACAGGUUUUAUGCCUUUACUGACUCUGAGCUCGAGCUGAAAUCAAAGAGCAGCCAGCUGUCAUGAACUCUUCCAUGGGAGGUGCCUGAGAUAACAUUUCUCCCAAAAAACUCCAUUUCAGAAUGUCUCAACAUUCAGCAUUAUUCAGAGUUCUCCCCACCUGAGAGACUCACCAGGGCUGGUGCUGCUCAUGCAGCUGUGUGCAGCUACAACAGUAGGAGUGAGCUCUGUUGGGAACAGAGAAGUGACUCCUGGACCUUUCUCUGCUCCCGUGAGAAAAGCAAGCCUUGGAAGAGACCCUCAGAAAGCUUUCCUGGUGACACCCCAACAAGGGAUGAGGAGGAACAAGGAAGGAGCUUGUUUUCUGGACAAUUCACCCAUUAGAGUCUGUUUGCUGAGCCCAUUAAGUGGCUAUUUUCUGUUACCUUGAAUUCUGAAGCCAUGGGAAACAACUGAUGGGGAUUAUUUGAGCCCUCCCACACAGGUUCAUGGAUGCAGAAUCCUCCUGUUUCCAUGCUGGCCAUCAGGACCUUAUCCUGUCAAGUUUCAACAAGUUCAGUAGAGAGCUAACAUUGUUACAGGAUUUUGGUUCCUAGACCAAGAAUUGAAAAAGAGAUUUGUCUGAGAGAGAAUAGAGAAUGGAGGAAUUUUUUGUCACCUUUCCCCCCCCUUUCUCUUUUUGGUGAAAGACAACAUGGAAAAUGUCAAGAAGUGUAUACAGGAAAAUGAUAGAUCUUAAGAAAUCUGUCCCUACUGGAAAAAAUACUUUUGCUUCCAAGAGAAGUCAAAGUAAAAUUUUGAAAGGCACUUACCUGACUUUCAAGGACUAUAAACUCCUAGAGGUCCUCUGGCUUUGGAAAAAUGUGUCUGAAUCCUCUGUAGUUCAGAAAUAAAACUUUCAUUUGGAUGAGGAUGAUUUCCCCU